GAUGAACGCUGGCGGCGUGCUUAACACAUGCAAGUCGAACGGGAUCCCGGGGGUUCGCUUCCGGGUGAGAGUGGCGAACGGGUGAGUAAUGCGUGACCGACCUGCCCCAUACACCGGAAUAGCUCCUGGAAACGGGUGGUAAUGCCGGAUGCUCCGGUUGGAUGCAUGUCCUUCCGGGAAAGAUUCUAUCGGUAUGGGAUGGGGUCGCGUCCUAUCAGCUUGAUGGCGGGGUAACGGCCCACCAUGGCUUCGACGGGUAGCCGGCCUGAGAGGGCGACCGGCCACAUUGGGACUGAGAUACGGCCCAGACUCCUACGGGAGGCAGCAGUGGGGAAUAUUGCACAAUGGGCGCAAGCCUGAUGCAGCGACGCCGCGUGCGGGAUGGAGGCCUUCGGGUUGUAAACCGCUUUUGAUCGGGAGCAAGCCCUUCG
RNAcentral lists this ribosomal RNA (431 nucleotides) under Bifidobacterium dentium. RNAcentral describes it as "bacterial SSU rRNA". It matches the Rfam family "Bacterial small subunit ribosomal RNA", at positions 28 to 457 of the family's 1533-position model. Lineage: Bacteria; Bacillati; Actinomycetota; Actinomycetes; Bifidobacteriales; Bifidobacteriaceae. The record is from RNAcentral.